Molecule: ribosomal RNA, 468 nt
Filed under: uncultured bacterium
Lineage: Bacteria
Description: partial 16S ribosomal RNA
Rfam family: Bacterial small subunit ribosomal RNA
Source: RNAcentral
GACGAACGCUGGCGGCGUGCUUAACACAUGCAAGUCGAACGGAAAGGCCCUGCUUUUGUGGGGUGCUCGAGUGGCGAACGGGUGAGUAACACGUGAGUAACCUGCCCUUGACUUUGGGAUAACUUCAGGAAACUGGGGCUAAUACCGGAUAGGAGCUCCUGCUGCAUGGUGGGGGUUGGAAAGUUUCGGCGGUUGGGGAUGGACUCGCGGCUUAUCAGCUUGUUGGUGGGGUAGUGGCUUACCAAGGCUUUGACGGGUAGCCGGCCUGAGAGGGUGACCGGCCACAUUGGGACUGAGAUACGGCCCAGACUCCUACGGGAGGCAGCAGUGGGGAAUAUUGCACAAUGGGCGGAAGCCUGAUGCAGCAACGCCGCGUGCGGGAUGAAGGCCUUCGGGUUGUAAACCGCUUUCGCCUGUGACGAAGCGUGAGUGACGGUAAUGGGUAAAGAAGCGCCGGCUAACUACGUG